RNAcentral lists this unclassified non-coding RNA (238 nucleotides) under Hevea brasiliensis (rubber tree). Lineage: Eukaryota; Viridiplantae; Streptophyta; Magnoliopsida; Malpighiales; Euphorbiaceae. The record is from RNAcentral.
AGAUGUCGAAGACUGCUUAGUACUACAAAUCCGCGCUUCCCACACCACUGGAACUGAGGCUUCUAACUCUAUCCCCAAACUCCUUUGCACCUAUCCCUCUCUAAAAGAUCUUUCUUUUAUUUGUCUGAAAUGGCAAGCAAUAGAGAAGGUCCACUUUCAUACGCCAAUAAUCCAUCAUCCUCUUCCUCUCCGAUCGCAGUUUCUGACCAUCUGGAUGCUACCUUCCUCACAGCAGACC